AUGUUCUUCCUUUUCUCUUUUAGAUUUCUCAUUUUUCUGUCCCAGCAUGUACUCACUUUCACAUAUUUAGGUUAUUUGAUGGUUGUUAUCCAAUUGGGGGCUGAAAUGUAUUUAUCUGACACACAAGUUCAGAUGAGCUCUCAAUGGAAGCUUCUGAUUUGGUGCAUGAUUAAAUUUUUUCUCUCUCUUCAAGAGCUGAAUUUUGGGUACAAGAAUGCUACUUUUGGGCAGCAAAGGAAGAGAUCUAAUCCCUUACUAAAGAGAUGCUCUCCGGUGUUAUUCAGAGUGGUCGAUAAUUUGCCAGAAGUUAUUACCAUGUUAUGCUCACUUUACAGUAAAAGCUGGAUAUUUUUUAUUGGUUGCUGCCAGAAUGGUUAAUGAUUGCUCCCGGUCUAAUGGAGUGUUGAUUUGAGUGUUAUCUGGUUGAAGUUCAUCAAAAAUUGAGUGGUUGGGCAACCUUUUC
This is a long non-coding RNA of Quercus lobata, 463 nucleotides long. RefSeq lists it as uncharacterized. NCBI's taxonomy places the organism in Eukaryota, Viridiplantae, Streptophyta, Magnoliopsida, Fagales, Fagaceae. The record is from RefSeq and is a predicted model, not a curated record. The transcript has 3 exons.